GGGUCAGUAGGUUGGUCGUGCCACCGGUACGUACUGGUCUCACUGAUUCCUCCUUCCUGAAGAACCGUAAUGCCAUUAAUUUGGUGUUGCGGGGAAACAGGACUGUUACUUUGAAAAAAUUAGAGUGUUUAAAGCAAGCUAACGCUUGAAUACAUUAGCAUGGAACAAUGAAAUAGGACGAUCGAUCUUGUUUUGUUGGUUUCUAGGAUUGACGUA
This 216-nucleotide ribosomal RNA is filed under the name Glomeromycotina sp. RNAcentral describes it as "partial small subunit ribosomal RNA". The stretch from base 40 to 216 matches the Rfam family "Eukaryotic small subunit ribosomal RNA", at positions 686 to 864 of the family's 1831-position model. Lineage: Eukaryota; Fungi; Glomeromycota. The record is from RNAcentral.